GCCAAGGCCCCUCAGCCGCGCCGAGGCCUGGUCCAGUCUCUACUCCGCGUCAGUGCGCAAACUGCCGCCUGAACUCGGAGCUCAAGAAGUGCCUGGGGAUAGAAGGCAGCCCACCCCAAAUUGUUCUUCCAAAAGGCAGCUAUCUAUUUGUAAGCCAACAGAAAACUUCCUUUUUCCAUCACCAUGUUUAUACAGUGAGAGCAGAGCUUGGGGAAAUGAUACAGCUGGUGGUUUGGUCUAGUCUCAGAAACACUUUCUGUGUUUACAAGGAAGAGGAACCCCACCAUCGCCGAGCCUGUGGCACUUAUAUUACUCAGCCGUUAAAAAGAAUUCAUUUGAACCAGUCCUAAUGAGAUGGAUGAAACUGGAGCCCCUUAUACAGAGUGAAGUAAGCCAGAAAGUUUGGAUACAACCUGAUAUGUGGGAUCUUAGUUUCUGACCAGGAAUGGAACCAGUGCCCUUUGAAGUGGUAGAACAAAGUCUUAACCACUAGACC
Dama dama (fallow deer) is the source of this 496-nucleotide long non-coding RNA. RefSeq lists it as uncharacterized. The record is from RefSeq and is a predicted model, not a curated record. Lineage: Eukaryota; Metazoa; Chordata; Mammalia; Artiodactyla; Cervidae. The transcript is spliced from 4 exons.